GGGGGGUAUUCCAGAAAGCAGGUUAUGUGACAUACCUGGGUAUGUUUAAGGGUAAUAUGUGAGGCAACCCAAAUCAUUACCAAUGUCGAGGCAAAAUGGCCAGGAUCUGUGCAUGAUGCCAGAAUUUUCCGCAAGUCAUCAUUAUGCCAAACAUUUCAGCAGGGACAGUACAAUGGUUACUUGCUGGGGGACAGAGGAUACCCUUGUCUGCCCUAUUUAAUGACACCCUACCCUGAACCUGAGCCUGGACCACAGACACGGCUCACAGCCGAACACGGGCCAAGGUGGAGAUGACUAUAGGGAUCGUCAAAUCUUGGUUUCAGUGUCUGCGUGGGCUCCGGGUUAGUCCAGAGAGGGCAUGCGACAUUUUAGUGGCUUGUGUUGUGCUUCACAAUAUUGCCACUAUAAGAGGAGAGUGCCACCCUCCUUGUAUUGAGGAAGAUGGCCCAGAGGAACACCUACAGAUUUUAGAGGCCAGC
Long non-coding RNA from Tachysurus fulvidraco (yellow catfish), 479 nucleotides. RefSeq lists it as uncharacterized. The record is from RefSeq and is a predicted model, not a curated record. The transcript is spliced from 3 exons. NCBI's taxonomy places the organism in Eukaryota, Metazoa, Chordata, Actinopteri, Siluriformes, Bagridae.